GAGUUUGAUCAUGGCUCAGAACGUACGCUGGCGGCACGCCUUAUACAUGCAAGUCGAACGAAGUAGCAAUACUUAGUGGCAGACGGGUGAGUAACAUGUGGGUAUCUUCCCUUUGGUGAGGAAUAACACGAGGAAACUUGUGCUAAUACCUCAUAAGUCUUUACGGAGAAAGCUUUAUGCGCCAAUGGAUGAGCCCGCACUAGAUUAGUUGUUGGUGGGGUAAUGGCUUACCAAGACAGUGAUCUAUACCUGAUCUGAGAGGAUGAUCAGCC
Molecule: ribosomal RNA, 272 nt
Filed under: uncultured Alphaproteobacteria bacterium
Lineage: Bacteria; Pseudomonadati; Pseudomonadota; Alphaproteobacteria
Description: partial 16S ribosomal RNA
Rfam family: Bacterial small subunit ribosomal RNA
Source: RNAcentral